RNAcentral lists this ribosomal RNA (2907 nucleotides) under Drosophila melanogaster (fruit fly). Its description in RNAcentral is "eukaryotic LSU rRNA". The stretch from base 573 to 2907 matches the Rfam family "Eukaryotic large subunit ribosomal RNA", at positions 1 to 2040 of the family's 3401-position model. The record is from RNAcentral. Lineage: Eukaryota; Metazoa; Arthropoda; Insecta; Diptera; Drosophilidae.
ACUCUAAGCGGUGGAUCACUCGGCUCAUGGGUCGAUGAAGAACGCAGCAAACUGUGCGUCAUCGUGUGAACUGCAGGACACAUGAACAUCGACAUUUUGAACGCAUAUCGCAGUCCAUGCUGUUAUGUACUUUAAUUAAUUUUAUAGUGCUGCUUGGACUACAUAUGGUUGAGGGUUGUAAGACUAUGCUAAUUAAGUUGCUUAUAAAUUUUUAUAAGCAUAUGGUAUAUUAUUGGAUAAAUAUAAUAAUUUUUAUUCAUAAUAUUAAAAAAUAAAUGAAAAACAUUAUCUCACAUUUGAAUGUGAAAAACGAAGAGAAAUAUUUUCUUUUUCAAUCAAAUAAUACUGAGAAAUGUCUAGCAUAAAAAAUUGAAAUAUUUUUCAUCUAGAAUUGUCUCUUAUUAAUGAUUCGGAAAUAGAAAAAUCUUGGUUAUGUUAUUAUUCUUCGUUGGUUCGUUAAAAAUGGAUAAAUAAAAACUUUGCAUACAAGAAUUAAUAAAAAUGUUAUAACGAAUUUAAUUAAAUGUUUUAUCAUUAUAUAUAAAGAAUUUAUGGCAAGAUAAAGUUAUAUACAACCUCAACUCAUAUGGGACUACCCCUGAAUUUAAGCAUAUUAAUUAGGGGAGGAAAAGAAACUAACAAGGAUUUUCUUAGUAGCGGCGAGCGAAAAGAAAACAGUUCAGCACUAAGUCACUUUGUCUAUAUGGCAAAUGUGAGAUGCAGUGUAUGGAGCGUCAAUAUUCUAGUAUGAGAAAUUAACGAUUUAAGUCCUUCUUAAAUGAGGCCAUUUACCCAUAGAGGGUGCCAGGCCCGUAUAACGUUAAUGAUUACUAGAUGAUGUUUCCAAAGAGUCGUGUUGCUUGAUAGUGCAGCACUAAGUGGGUGGUAAACUCCAUCUAAAACUAAAUAUAACCAUGAGACCGAUAGUAAACAAGUACCGUGAGGGAAAGUUGAAAAGAACUCUGAAUAGAGAGUUAAACAGUACGUGAAACUGCUUAGAGGUUAAGCCCGAUGAACCUGAAUAUCCGUUAUGGAAAAUUCAUCAUUAAAAUUGUAAUAUUUAAAUAAUAUUAUGAGAAUAGUGUGCAUUUUUUCCAUAUAAGGACAUUGUAAUCUAUUAGCAUAUACCAAAUUUAUCAUAAAAUAUAACUUAUAGUUUAUUCCAAUUAAAUUGCUUGCAUUUUAACACAGAAUAAAUGUUAUUAAUUUGAUAAAGUGCUGAUAGAUUUAUAUGAUUACAGUGCGUUAAUUUUUCGGAAUUAUAUAAUGGCAUAAUUAUCAUUGAUUUUUGUGUUUAUUAUAUGCACUUGUAUGAUUAACAAUGCGAAAGAUUCAGGAUACCUUCGGGACCCGUCUUGAAACACGGACCAAGGAGUCUAACAUAUGUGCAAGUUAUUGGGAUAUAAACCUAAUAGCGUAAUUAACUUGACUAAUAAUGGGAUUAGUUUUUUAGCUAUUUAUAGCUAAUUAACACAAUCCCGGGGCGUUCUAUAUAGUUAUGUAUAAUGUAUAUUUAUAUUAUUUAUGCCUCUAACUGGAACGUACCUUGAGCAUAUAUGCUGUGACCCGAAAGAUGGUGAACUAUACUUGAUCAGGUUGAAGUCAGGGGAAACCCUGAUGGAAGACCGAAACAGUUCUGACGUGCAAAUCGAUUGUCAGAAUUGAGUAUAGGGGCGAAAGACCAAUCGAACCAUCUAGUAGCUGGUUCCUUCCGAAGUUUCCCUCAGGAUAGCUGGUGCAUUUUAAUAUUAUAUAAAAUAAUCUUAUCUGGUAAAGCGAAUGAUUAGAGGCCUUAGGGUCGAAACGAUCUUAACCUAUUCUCAAACUUUAAAUGGGUAAGAACCUUAACUUUCUUGAUAUGAAGUUCAAGGUUAUGAUAUAAUGUGCCCAGUGGGCCACUUUUGGUAAGCAGAACUGGCGCUGUGGGAUGAACCAAACGUAAUGUUACGGUGCCCAAAUUAACAACUCAUGCAGAUACCAUGAAAGGCGUUGGUUGCUUAAAACAGCAGGACGGUGAUCAUGGAAGUCGAAAUCCGCUAAGGAGUGUGUAACAACUCACCUGCCGAAGCAACUAGCCCUUAAAAUGGAUGGCGCUUAAGUUGUAUACCUAUACAUUACCGCUAAAGUAGAUGAUUUAUAUUACUUGUGAUAUAAAUUUUGAAACUUUAGUGAGUAGGAAGGUACAAUGGUAUGCGUAGAAGUGUUUGGCGUAAGCCUGCAUGGAGCUGCCAUUGGUACAGAUCUUGGUGGUAGUAGCAAAUAAUCGAAUGAGACCUUGGAGGACUGAAGUGGAGAAGGGUUUCGUGUGAACAGUGGUUGAUCACGAGUUAGUCGGUCCUAAGUUCAAGGCGAAAGCCGAAAAUUUUCAAGUAAAACAAAAAUGCCUAACUAUAUAAACAAAGCGAAUUAUAAUACACUUGAAUAAUUUUGAACGAAAGGGAAUACGGUUCCAAUUCCGUAACCUGUUGAGUAUCCGUUUGUUAUUAAAUAUGGGCCUCGUGCUCAUCCUGGCAACAGGAACGACCAUAAAGAAGCCGUCGAGAGAUAUCGGAAGAGUUUUCUUUUCUGUUUUAUAGCCGUACUACCAUGGAAGUCUUUCGCAGAGAGAUAUGGUAGAUGGGCUAGAAGAGCAUGACAUAUACUGUUGUGUCGAUAUUUUCUCCUCGGACCUUGAAAAUUUAUGGUGGGGACACGCAAACUUCUCAACAGGCCGUACCAAUAUCCGCAGCUGGUCUCCAAGGUGAAGAGUCUCUAGUCGAUAGAAUAAUGUAGGUAAGGGAAGUCGGCAAAUUAGAUCCGUAACUUCGGGAUAAGGAUUGGCUCUGAAGAUUGAGAUAGUCGGGCUUGAUUGGGAAACAAUAACAUGGUUUAUGUGCUCGUUCUGGGUAAAUAGAGUUUCUAGCAUUU